CCUACGGGAGGCAGCAGUGAGGAAUAUUGGUCAAUGGCCGUAAGGCUGAACCAGCCAAGUCGCGUGAAGGAAGAAGGAUCUAUGGUUUGUAAACUUCUUUUAUAGGGGAAUAAAGGUAUCCACGUGUGGAUAUUUGCAUGUACCCUAUGAAUAAGCAUCGGCUAACUCCGUGCCAGCAGCCGCGGUAAUACGGAGGAUGCGAGCGUUAUCCGGAUUUAUUGGGUUUAAAGGGUGCGUAGGUUGUUUUUUAAGUCAGCGGUGAAAGUUUGUGGCUCAACCAUAAAAUUGCCGUUGAAACUGGAAGACUUGAGUGUGUUUGAGGUAGGCGGAAUGCGUGGUGUAGCGGUGAAAUGCAUAGAUAUCACGCAGAACUCCGAUUGCGAAGGCAGCUUACUAAGCCAUAACUGACACUGAAGCACGAAAGCGUGGGGAUCAAACA
RNAcentral lists this ribosomal RNA (439 nucleotides) under uncultured bacterium. RNAcentral describes it as "bacterial SSU rRNA". It matches the Rfam family "Bacterial small subunit ribosomal RNA", at positions 338 to 774 of the family's 1533-position model. The record is from RNAcentral.